AUUGAACGCUGGCGGCAGGCCUCACACAUGCAAGUCGAACGAGUGGCGGACGGGUGAGUAAUGUCUGGGAAACUGCCUGAUGGAGGGGGAUACCUACUGGAAACGGUAGCUAAUACCGCCUACCAUCGGAUGUGCCCAGAUGGGAUUAGCUAGUAGGGUUGGUAAAGGAUCAACUCGGCGACGAUCCAUAGCUGGUCUGAGAGGAUGACCAGCCACACUGUAAAUGGGGCACGGUCCAGACGCCUAUGGGAGGAAGCAGUGGUGAAGAUUGCACAAGGGGCGGAAGCCUGAUGCAGCCAUGCCGCGUGUAGGAAGAAGGCCUUCGGGUUGUAAAGUACUUGCAGCGGGGAGGCGUUACCCGCAGAAGAAGCACCGGCUAACUCCGUGCCAGCAGCCGCGGUAAUAC
Molecule: ribosomal RNA, 406 nt
Filed under: uncultured bacterium
Lineage: Bacteria
Description: partial 16S ribosomal RNA
Rfam family: Bacterial small subunit ribosomal RNA
Source: RNAcentral